UUUCCGUAGGUGAACCUGCGGAAGGAUCAUUACUGAGUGAGGGCCCCUCGGGGUCCAACCUCCCACCCGUGUUUAACGAACCUUGUUGCUUCGGCGGGCCCGCCUCACGGCCGCCGGGGGGCAUUUGCCCCCGGGCCCGCGCCCGCCGAAGCCACCUGUGAACGCUGUCUGAAGUAUGCAGUCUGAGACAAUUAUUAAAUUAAUUAUAACUUUCAACAACGGAUCUCUUGGUUCCG
RNAcentral lists this unclassified non-coding RNA (236 nucleotides) under plant metagenome. Its description in RNAcentral is "partial contains small subunit ribosomal RNA, internal transcribed spacer 1, and 5.8S ribosomal RNA". The record is from RNAcentral.